RNAcentral lists this ribosomal RNA (826 nucleotides) under Escherichia coli. RNAcentral's name for it is "partial 23S ribosomal RNA". It matches the Rfam family "Bacterial large subunit ribosomal RNA", at positions 409 to 1237 of the family's 2925-position model. Lineage: Bacteria; Pseudomonadati; Pseudomonadota; Gammaproteobacteria; Enterobacterales; Enterobacteriaceae. The record is from RNAcentral.
UGAGUAGGGCGGGACACGUGGUAUCCUGUCUGAAUAUGGGGGGACCAUCCUCCAAGGCUAAAUACUCCUGACUGACCGAUAGUGAACCAGUACCGUGAGGGAAAGGCGAAAAGAACCCCGGCGAGGGGAGUGAAAAAGAACCUGAAACCGUGUACGUACAAGCAGUGGGAGCCUCUUAAUGGGGUGACUGCGUACCUUUUGUAUAAUGGGUCAGCGACUUAUAUUCUGUAGCAAGGUUAACCGAAUAGGGGAGCCGAAGGGAAACCGAGUCUUAACUGGGCGUUAAGUUGCAGGGUAUAGACCCGAAACCCGGUGAUCUAGCCAUGGGCAGGUUGAAGGUUGGGUAACACUAACUGGAGGACCGAACCGACUAAUGUUGAAAAAUUAGCGGAUGACUUGUGGCUGGGGGUGAAAGGCCAAUCAAACCGGGAGAUAGCUGGUUCUCCCCGAAAGCUAUUUAGGUAGCGCCUCGUGAAUUCAUCUCCGGGGGUAGAGCACUGUUUCGGCAAGGGGGUCAUCCCGACUUACCAACCCGAUGCAAACUGCGAAUACCGGAGAAUGUUAUCACGGGAGACACACGGCGGGUGCUAACGUCCGUCGUGAAGAGGGAAACAACCCAGACCGCCAGCUAAGGUCCCAAAGUCAUGGUUAAGUGGGAAACGAUGUGGGAAGGCCCAGACAGCCAGGAUGUUGGCUUAGAAGCAGCCAUCAUUUAAAGAAAGCGUAAUAGCUCACUGGUCGAGUCGGCCUGCGCGGAAGAUGUAACGGGGCUAAACCAUGCACCGAAGCUGCGGCAGCGACACUAUGUGUUGUUGGGUAGGGGAGC